UCUACAGUGGCCCUGAGGUGCAAAACAAAACGGCAAAUCAGAAAACACACAAAGAAAACAGAAAACACAACACAAAAAGAGAGAAAACAAUGGUUAAUCUUGUUGUGUUUUCUGAUAUUCCGCUGUUUUCUCCUUUUGUAUUGUGCUUUCUCUUUUUGCUGUUGUGUUUUAUUUUUUUGUGUUGUGUUUUCUCUUUUUGUGUUGUGUUUUCUCUUUUUGCCGUUGUGUUUUGCACCUCAGGGCCACCGUAGA
Non-coding RNA from Xyrichtys novacula (pearly razorfish), 252 nucleotides. Lineage: Eukaryota; Metazoa; Chordata; Actinopteri; Labriformes; Labridae. The record is from the annotation of a GenBank genome assembly.